UAAGGCCAACAGGACACUAACCUGUAUCUCCCAAAUGCAAAUCGGAUGCUUUCAUUAAGCUAAAGCCUCA
RNAcentral lists this transfer RNA (70 nucleotides) under Crypturellus undulatus. RNAcentral describes it as "tRNA-Ala". The record is from RNAcentral. Lineage: Eukaryota; Metazoa; Chordata; Aves; Tinamiformes; Tinamidae.